CGCCAGACUCCUACGGGAGGCAGCAGUGGGGAAUAUUGCACAAUGGGGGGAACCCUGAUGCAGCAACGCCGCGUGGGUGAAGGAGCGUUUCGGCGCGUAAAGCCCUGUCAGCGGGGAAGAAGAAAGACGGUACCCGACCAAGAAGCCCCGGCUAACUACGUGCCAGCAGCCGCGGGAAUACGUAGGGGGCGAGCGUUAUCCGGAAUUACUGGGUGUAAAGGGAGCGUAGACGGCGAGGUAAGCCUGAAGUGGAAGCCCGCGGCCCAACCGCGGAACUGCUUUGGGAACUGUUUUGCUGGAGUAUGGGAGGGGUAAGCGGAAUUCCUGGUGUAGCGGUGAAAUGCGUAGAUAUCAGGAGGAACACCGGUGGCGAAGGCGGCUUACUGGACCAUAACUGACGUUGAGGCUCGAAAGCGUGGGGAGCAAACAGGAUUAGAUACCCUCGUAUAA
Molecule: ribosomal RNA, 450 nt
Filed under: uncultured bacterium
Lineage: Bacteria
Description: bacterial SSU rRNA
Rfam family: Bacterial small subunit ribosomal RNA
Source: RNAcentral